This 28-nucleotide non-coding RNA is filed under the name Rattus norvegicus (Norway rat). The record is from RNAcentral. Lineage: Eukaryota; Metazoa; Chordata; Mammalia; Rodentia; Muridae.
UGAUAAGAAAUAGAUCUGGUUUCUGAAC